GUUCUUGCUUCGGCAGCACAUAUACUAAAAUUGGAAUGAUACAGAAAAGAUUAGCAUGGCCCCUGCACAAGGAUGACAUACAAAUUCAUGAAGUGUUCCAUAUUUAA
Small nuclear RNA from Suncus etruscus (white-toothed pygmy shrew), 107 nucleotides. The record is from RefSeq and is a predicted model, not a curated record. NCBI's taxonomy places the organism in Eukaryota, Metazoa, Chordata, Mammalia, Eulipotyphla, Soricidae.